RNAcentral lists this long non-coding RNA (547 nucleotides) under Homo sapiens (human). RNAcentral describes it as "non-protein coding lnc-KCNE1B-8:3". Lineage: Eukaryota; Metazoa; Chordata; Mammalia; Primates; Hominidae. The record is from RNAcentral.
AAAAGAAAGAAGGCCGAAGGGAAGAAGGUGGUGCUCACCCUUGCUGUCUUGAAAAAGCAGGAGACCAUGAAAGUGGUGAAUCUUCCAUUUGAGAAAUUUGGCACUGGACAGGACAUUUUGGCAUUGGACAGAACAUCCAGCCCAAAAGGGACCUCACUUACUUUGUCAAAUGGCCCCAUUAUACUAGGUUGCAGCAGCAGAGAGCCAUCCUCUAUAAACAGCUAGAAGUGCCUUCUGUGAUUAAUCAGUUCACCAGGGCCUUGGACCACCAAACAGCUGCUCAAUGGGGUAAGCGGGCUGGCAAGUACAGACCAGAGACAAAGCAAGAGAAACAGCAGAGACUGUUGGCCUGGGCUGAGAAGAAAGCAAAGGAGACAUCCCCACUAAGAGAUCACCUGUCCUUUUAAUGGGGGUUAACGCUGUCACCACCUUAGUGGAGAAAAAGAAGGCUCAGCUGGUGGUGACUGCACAGGACAGAGAUCCCAUUGAGUUGGUUGUCUUCCUGCCUGCCCUGUGUUGUAAACUGGGGGUUCCUUACUGCAUUAUC